GCGCCUUAUGCAUGCAAGUCGAGCGAAGCUUUUCAGUAGUUUACUACAGAAAAUGACUGAGCGGCGAACGGGUGAGUAACGCGUGAGCAACCUACCUUAGUUACUGGGAUAGCCCGAGGAAACUCGGAUUAAUACCGGAUAUUCUUAUUUUAUCACAUGAUUUUUUAAGGAAAGGUCAGCCGAACUAAGAUGGGCUCGCGUUCUAUCAGCUAGUUGGUAGGGUAAUGGCCUACCAAGGCUACGACGGAUAGCUGGUCUGAGAGGACGAUCAGCCACACUGGGACUGAGACACGGCCCAGACUCCUACGGGAGGCUGCAGCAGGGAAUAUUGCGCAAUGAGCGAAAGCUUGACGCAGCGACACCGCGUGUGGGAUGACGGAUCUAGGUUUGUAAACCACUUUCAGGAGGGAAGAAAAUGACGGUACCUCCACAAGAAGCCCCGGCCAACUAC
This 451-nucleotide ribosomal RNA is filed under the name uncultured bacterium. RNAcentral's name for it is "bacterial SSU rRNA". It matches the Rfam family "Bacterial small subunit ribosomal RNA", at positions 44 to 504 of the family's 1533-position model. The record is from RNAcentral.